AGUGAACGCUGGCGGUAGGCCUAACACAUGCAAGUCGAACGGCAGCACAGUAAGAGCUUGCUCUUACGGGUGGCGAGUGGCGGACGGGUGAGGAAUACAUCGGAAUCUACUUUUUCGUGGGGGAUAACGUAGGGAAACUUACGCUAAUACCGCAUACGACCUACGGGUGAAAGCAGGGGAUCUUCGGACCUUGCGCGAUUGAAUGAGCCGAUGUCGGAUUAGCUAGUUGGCGGGGUAAAGGCCCACCAAGGCGACGAUCCGUAGCCGGUCUGAGAGGAUGAUCAGCCACACUGGAACUGAGACACGGUCCAGACUCCUACGGGAGGCAGCAGUGGGGAAUAUUGGACAAUGGGCGCAAGCCUGAUCCAGCCAUACCGCGUGGGUGAAGAAGGCCUUCGGGUUGUAAAGCCCUUUUGUUGGGAAAGGAAAGCAGCAGGUUAAUACCCCGCUGUUCUGACGGUACCCAAAGAAUAAGCACCGGCUAACUUCGUG
RNAcentral lists this ribosomal RNA (492 nucleotides) under uncultured bacterium. RNAcentral's name for it is "partial 16S ribosomal RNA". It matches the Rfam family "Bacterial small subunit ribosomal RNA", at positions 29 to 507 of the family's 1533-position model. The record is from RNAcentral.